This 73-nucleotide transfer RNA is filed under the name Nitrospinae bacterium CG11_big_fil_rev_8_21_14_0_20_56_8. RNAcentral's name for it is "tRNA-Lys". It matches the Rfam family "tRNA". From Rfam's summary of the family: Transfer RNA (tRNA) molecules are approximately 80 nucleotides in length. Their secondary structure includes four short double-helical elements and three loops (D, anti-codon, and T loops). The record is from RNAcentral. RNAcentral also lists the same sequence under 1 other name. Lineage: Bacteria; Pseudomonadati; Nitrospinota.
GGGCCGCUAGCUCAGGUGGUAGAGCAACGCCCUUUUAAGGCGUGGGUCGAAGGUUCGAGUCCUUCGCGGCUCA